This 451-nucleotide ribosomal RNA is filed under the name uncultured Fibrobacter sp. RNAcentral describes it as "bacterial SSU rRNA". It matches the Rfam family "Bacterial small subunit ribosomal RNA", at positions 341 to 792 of the family's 1533-position model. Lineage: Bacteria; Pseudomonadati; Fibrobacterota; Fibrobacteria; Fibrobacterales; Fibrobacteraceae. The record is from RNAcentral.
ACGGAAGGCAGCAGUAGGGAAUAUUGCACAAUGGGGGAAACCCUGAUGCAGCAACGCCACGUGUGGGAAGAAGCAUUUCGGUGUGUGAACCACUGUCGUGAGGGAAUAAGGCAUUGUUUCGGCGAUGUUGAAUGUACCUCGAAAGGAAGCACCGGCAAACUUCGUGCCAGCAGCCGCGGUAAUACGAGGGGUGCAAGCGUUGUUCGGAAUCACUGGGCGUAAAGGGAGCGCAGGCGGAGAUGCAAGCGGACUGUACAAUACCGGGGCCCAACCCCGGACCUGCAGACCGGACUGCAUUUCUUGGAUAGUUCAGGGGCAAGCGGAAUUCCUGGUGUAGCGGUGGAAUGCGUAGAGAUCAGGAAGAACACCGAUGGCGAAGGCAGCUUGCUGGGGACUUAUCGACGCUCAUGCUCGAAAGUGCGGGUAGCAAACAGGAUUAGAUACCCUGGUA